GGCCUAAUGGCCCAAUGGCAAGGCGCUUGACUACGAUCCAUACCACAGAUUCGGCAUCAAGAGAUUCCAGGUUCGACCCCUGGUUAGGUCA
This is a non-coding RNA of Paraphoma chrysanthemicola, 91 nucleotides long. The record is from the annotation of a GenBank genome assembly. Lineage: Eukaryota; Fungi; Ascomycota; Dothideomycetes; Pleosporales; Phaeosphaeriaceae.